This is a long non-coding RNA of Anastrepha ludens (Mexican fruit fly), 396 nucleotides long. RefSeq lists it as uncharacterized. NCBI's taxonomy places the organism in Eukaryota, Metazoa, Arthropoda, Insecta, Diptera, Tephritidae. The transcript has 3 exons. The record is from RefSeq and is a predicted model, not a curated record.
AAACAAUCAUCUGCCGUAAAGUCAUGGAAUUGCACCAUCAGAAGCAUCAUCAACAUAUGUGUACAACUUGAAUGCUGCCAAGGCGCAGUUUGCUGAAGCACAGAAAAGCUGAUGUGACUACGACCAUCCCAUGUUGAAGCUAUCUGGGAUGCCGCCAGCUGGAAGGAUAUCUUUAAUCACCUCGUUGCCGCUGCUAAGAGACGUUUGUGUCAUCCAAGUUUUAAGUGACCUAGAGAAGCCUACCUAUAUAGUAUGUGCAAGAAAAUCAUUUGCAGCUGUUCGAACUUGUGGGAGGAAUGUAGGUCAAAGCGGCUGAUGAGUGAUAUUUUUAAAUAAAUAAUUUAACUACAACACAUUCCGCGUUUGUGAUAAUCAACGAAAAGAUGCGAAAUUUGA